ACAACGAAGAGUUUGAUCCUGGCUCAGGACGAACGCUGGCGGCGUGCCUAACACAUGCAAGUCAGGGAGAAAGUAAUAGUAAUAUUGCGAGUAAACCGGCAAACGGGUGAGUAAUACGUAGGCAACCUGCCAUAUGAACGGGAAUAACUCCGAGAAAUUGGGGCUAAUGCCAGAUAAAGUUUAGCUUUGACAUCAAAGUAAAACCAAACGCUCCAAAAGGGCGUCAUAUGAUGGGCUUACGUCCGAUUAGCUAGUUGGUGAGGUAAAGGCUCACCAAGGCGACGAUCGGUAGCUGGUCUGAGAGGAUGGUCAGCCACACUGGGACUGAGACACGGCCCAGACUCCUACGGGAGGCAGCAGUGAGGAAUAUUGCUCAAUGGGCGAAAGCCUGAAGCAGCGACGCCGCGUGAGGGACGAAAUCCGUUAGGAUGUAAACCUCUUUUUCAAAGGAAGAAUAUUUCAAUUUAUUGGAAUUGACUGUACUUUGGGAAUAAGCACCGGCUAACUACGUGCCAGCAGCCGCGGUAAUACGUAGGGUGCGAGCGUUGUCCGGAAUUACUGGG
RNAcentral lists this ribosomal RNA (563 nucleotides) under Ignavibacteriales bacterium. RNAcentral describes it as "Bacterial small subunit ribosomal RNA". It matches the Rfam family "Bacterial small subunit ribosomal RNA", at positions 1 to 558 of the family's 1533-position model. The record is from Rfam by way of RNAcentral. Lineage: Bacteria; Pseudomonadati; Ignavibacteriota; Ignavibacteria; Ignavibacteriales.